AUACGUAGGUGGCAAGCGUUGUCCGGAUUUACUGGGUGUAAAGGGCGCGUAGGCGGGAUGUCAAGUCAGAUGUGAAAUCUAUGGGCUCAACUCAUAAACUGCAUUUGAAACUGACGUUCUUGAGUAUCGGAGAGGCAAGCGGAAUUCCUAGUGUAGCGGUGAAAUGCGUAGAUAUUAGGAGGAACACCAGUGGCGAAGGCGGCUUGAUGGACGACAACUGACGCUGAGGCGCGAAAGCGUGGGGAGCAAACAGGAUUAGAUGCCCUGGUAGUCCACGUCGUAAACGAUGAAUACUAGGUGUGGGGGGACUGACCCCCUCCGUGCCGCAGUUAACACAAUAAGUAUUCCACCUGGGGAGUACGGCCGCAAGGUUGAAACUCAAAUGAAUUGACGGGG
RNAcentral lists this ribosomal RNA (396 nucleotides) under uncultured bacterium. Its description in RNAcentral is "partial 16S ribosomal RNA". It matches the Rfam family "Bacterial small subunit ribosomal RNA", at positions 523 to 918 of the family's 1533-position model. The record is from RNAcentral.